AGCGAACGCUGGCGGCAGGCCUAACACAUGCAAGUCGAACGAACUCUUCGGAGUUAGUGGCGGACGGGUGAGUAACACGUGGGAACGUGCCUUUUGGUUCGGAAUAACUCAGGGAAACUUGUGCUAAUACCGAAUGUGCCCUUCGGGGGAAAGAUUUAUCGCCAUUAGAGCGGCCCGCGUCUGAUUAGCUAGUUGGUGAGGUAACGGCUCACCAAGGCGACGAUCAGUAGCUGGUCUGAGAGGAUGACCAGCCACACUGGGACUGAGACACGGCCCAGACUCAGACGGGGGGCAGUAGGGAGACAUGGGGAGGAGCGGGCGAACGACGGACGCCGCCAGGGUGAUAGAAUGAUGAAGGGUGUAGGAUUUGAAAAUUCUAUGCCCGGGAACGAUAACGGCGCUACGGGGGGAAGAAGCGCCGGCUAACGCCGGGCAAGCAGCGGGGGUAAUAGAUAGGAAAAAACACGUCUGAAC
RNAcentral lists this ribosomal RNA (474 nucleotides) under uncultured bacterium. RNAcentral's name for it is "partial 16S ribosomal RNA". It matches the Rfam family "Bacterial small subunit ribosomal RNA", at positions 35 to 539 of the family's 1533-position model. The record is from RNAcentral.